UAACAUUAAUAGCUUGAAAUUAGGGCAAAAGAUUGGGGGAAAAAACUGGGAAACGGGUAAGAAUUCAGGGGUAAAAACGAAAGUCCCCUUUGAUUUCAAAAUUCGAAAAUCCUCUCUAAGGAACAGGGCAGCAGUUGGGUCUUGUACCAGGAAAAUGUCCAAAUCCCACAGGAUCUGGACUUGGCAGCAGCAUGGAUGGCUCCGAUUCUUCAGGCUUGUCCUCGAGUUGUUGUGUGUCAUCAUCCCUUAGCCAUAAGGACAAACGGACCCAGCUGCAAGGACGAUUCUUGCAGGCGAAAAGUUGCAUAUUGCUGCUGGUCG
RNAcentral lists this unclassified non-coding RNA (321 nucleotides) under Hevea brasiliensis (rubber tree). Lineage: Eukaryota; Viridiplantae; Streptophyta; Magnoliopsida; Malpighiales; Euphorbiaceae. The record is from RNAcentral.